UCUGACAGGACACCAACUGUGUCUGAGAGA
Molecule: non-coding RNA, 30 nt
Filed under: Mus musculus (house mouse)
Lineage: Eukaryota; Metazoa; Chordata; Mammalia; Rodentia; Muridae
Source: RNAcentral